Molecule: ribosomal RNA, 490 nt
Filed under: uncultured bacterium
Lineage: Bacteria
Description: partial 16S ribosomal RNA
Rfam family: Bacterial small subunit ribosomal RNA
Source: RNAcentral
AUUGAACGCUGGCGGCGUGCCUAACACAUGCAAGUCGAAUGGUAACAGGAAACAGCUUGCUGUUUCGCUGACGAGUGGCGGGCGGGUGUGUCAUGUCUGGAAACCUGCUUGAUGGAGGGGGAUAACUCGUGAAAACGGUAGCUAAUACCGCAUAUCGUCUCAAGACCAGAGAGGGGUACCUUCGGACCGCUUUCCUUUCGAUGUUACCAGAUGGGAUUAGCUAGUAGGUGGGGUAACGGCUCACCUCUUAGACGAUCCCUAGCUGGUCUGAGAGGAUGAACAGCCACACUGGAACUGAGACACGGUCCAGACUCCUACGGGAGGCAGCAGUGGGGAAUAUUGCACAAUGGGCGCAAGCCUGAUGCAGCCAUGCCGCGUGUAUGAAGAAGGCCUUCGGGUUGUAAAGUACUGUCAGCGGGGAAGAAGAGAGUAAAGUGAAUACCUUCACGCAUUGACGUUACCCACAGAAGAAGCACCGGCUAACUCCGUG